CUCUGAGUACUUGUCAUGAGUCUCACGGGUCCUCCUUCCUCUUCCACGCCACAAUAUCAUUGACUGUGACAGACAUACGUCAUGUUUCUUUGGCUCUGCAUAACCACAUGUCCCAGGUGAAAUUAAUGUCUGCUUAUCUUUAAGGGUCUGGGAUUUAAUUAAAAAUGACAUUUCCCCAAACACGUAGCUGUGCUUCUAAUACUGCUGUUUGAAUUAGCUUAAGAGAUCCCUCUGAGCAGAAGGGAAAUAAGAAAGCUGUCAGCUGCUUACCCGAUCUGAGCCAUUUAUCCAUUAGAGCUUUUUUUUUUUUUACAGCAGCAAACUCUGUUCUGUCUGAAAUAACAGAACAAUACGUGUAAUUUCAUUUGAUUCGCUAAAAUCAUGGUAACUUUAGAUAUGCAUUUUACUUGUUUUGUGGAAGAGCCAGAUAUUGUCAUCCAGUGUGACUUUAUAUUACUAUGACUUUAUAUUAGAGCUUUACUUUAAACUGAAAUCUAAUAUUAGGCAGGGCUUGAUGAACAUUUUGAACUACCAGUACAACACAUAUUUAGCUCUUGCGUUUUUUGCUGUAAUUAUAUGCAGAGUGCUAUUUUCUUAUUAUACUGUGCAGAUACAGUGACAUAGGCUACAUUCACAUUACAAGCCUCAUUAAUCAAUUCUUUUCUUUUCUUUUUUUUUUGCCCAGGUAAGAUAUGGAUGUUCAUGUUCAUGAAUGUGUGACCUGUCUCUACCGUGAUGAACAAAUCUGUCCCUGGAGCUAAUCUGAACCAGUAUAGAUCAAACACUACACGACUGGGCAUGACACACUACACAACAAGAUCCCUGAUGACAUGGACCACCAUUGACAUGACUGUAUCAGGAGAUUCAGGUGCCAACAUGGAGGUGCACGAGCAUGCUGGGUUGGGAGAAGUGGUCAGCAUGGUGUCUACAUACAUUAUGUAAAGAGCUGAAGGCAGAAGACAGGGUUGGUUCAGAGAAGAGUUUACACUACCAGAUUCAGCCCAAAAUCAAGCUGAAAAAUUUUCUACAACUGAAGUCGGAUGCAAUUUUGAGGCUAAAAAUCGAGGCACAGUCUAUUAUACACUACAUGACUUCACUCCAACUGUGA
RNAcentral lists this long non-coding RNA (1108 nucleotides) under Astyanax mexicanus (Mexican tetra). RNAcentral describes it as "lncRNA (ENSAMXG00005012802.1)". Lineage: Eukaryota; Metazoa; Chordata; Actinopteri; Characiformes; Acestrorhamphidae. The record is from RNAcentral.